GAUGAACGCUGGCGGCGUGCCUAAUACAUGCAAGUCGAGCGAACAGACGAGGAGCUUGCUCCUCUGACGUUAUCGGCUGACGGGUGAUUAACACGUGGAUAACCUACCUAUAAUACUGGUAUAACUUCGUGAAACCGUAUCUAAUACCGGAUAAUAUAUUGAACCGCAUGGUUCAAUAGUUAAAUACGGUUUUUCUGUCUCUUUUAGAUUGAUCCGGUCCGCAUUAUCUACUUGGUAAGGUAACGGCUUACCAAGGCAACGAUGCGUAGCCGACAUGAGAGGGGGAGCGGCCACACUGGAAGUGAGACACGGACAAGACGACUACGGGAGGCAGCAGAAGGGAAUGUUCCGCAAUGGGCGAAAGCCUGACGGAGCAAAGCCGCGUGAGUGAUGAAGGUCUGCGGAUCGUAAAACUAUGUUAUUAGGGAAGAAAAAAUGUGUAAGUAACUAUGAACGUAUUGACGGUAACUAAUCAGAAAGCCACGGCUAACUACGUG
This 497-nucleotide ribosomal RNA is filed under the name uncultured bacterium. RNAcentral's name for it is "partial 16S ribosomal RNA". It matches the Rfam family "Bacterial small subunit ribosomal RNA", at positions 28 to 507 of the family's 1533-position model. The record is from RNAcentral.